AUACGUAUGGGGCGAGCGUUGUCCGGAAUGAUUGGGCGUAAAGGGUACGUAGGCGGUUAAUUAAGUCGAGUGUGAAAGGUUGGGGCUCAACCCCAUAAAGCAUUCGAAACUGGUUAACUUGAGAUGUGGAGAGGAAAGUGGAAUUCCUAGUGUAGCGGUGACAUGCGUAGAUAUUAGGAGGAAUACCAGUAGCGAAGGCGACUUUCUGGACACAUCCUGACGCUGAGGUACGAAAGCGUGGGAAGCAAACAGGAUUAGAUCCCCGGGUAUUCCACGCCGUAAACGAUGAAUGCUAGGUGUCGGGGGUCAAACCUCGGUGCCGCCGCUAACGCAUUAAGCAUUCCGCCUGGGGAGUACGCACGCAAGUGUGAAACUCAAAGGAAUUGACGGGG
Molecule: ribosomal RNA, 392 nt
Filed under: uncultured bacterium
Lineage: Bacteria
Description: partial 16S ribosomal RNA
Rfam family: Bacterial small subunit ribosomal RNA
Source: RNAcentral